Molecule: transfer RNA, 70 nt
Filed under: Quintana atrizona
Lineage: Eukaryota; Metazoa; Chordata; Actinopteri; Cyprinodontiformes; Poeciliidae
Description: tRNA-Gln
Rfam family: tRNA
About the family: Transfer RNA (tRNA) molecules are approximately 80 nucleotides in length.
Source: RNAcentral
UAGGAAGUGGUGUAGUGGAAGCACGAAGAGUUUUGAUCUCUUCAGGUAGGGUUCAAAUCCCCUCUUUCUA